CCUACGGGUGGCAGCAGUCGAGAAUCAUUCACAAUGGGGGAAACCCUGAUGGUGCGACGCCGCGUGGGGGAAUGAAGGUCUUCGGAUUGUAAACCCCUGUCAUGUGGGAGCAAAUUAAAAUGAUAGUACCACAAGAGGAAGAGACGGCUAACUCUGUGCCAGCAGCCGCGGUAAUACAGAGGUCUCAAGCGUUGUUCGGAAUCACUGGGCGUAAGGGGUGCGGAGGCUGUUUCGUAAGUCGUGUGUGAAUGGCCCGGGCUCAACCCGCGGACGGCACAUGAUACUGCGAGACUAGAGUGAUGGAGGGGGAACUGGAAUUCUCGGUGUAGCAGUGAAAUGCGUAGAUAUCGGGAGGAACACUCGUGGCGAAGGCGGGUUCCUGGACAUUAACUGACGCUGAGGCACGAAGGCCAGGGGAGCGAAAGGGAUUAGAUACCCGAGUAGUC
Molecule: ribosomal RNA, 446 nt
Filed under: uncultured bacterium
Lineage: Bacteria
Description: partial 16S ribosomal RNA
Rfam family: Bacterial small subunit ribosomal RNA
Source: RNAcentral